CAGUGUAUUAACAGUCACUCUGGUUACAGGAUCUCUGCUCAUGUUAACCAUUUUAUAAUGAACACACCCAGAGACGCCCUACCCAUGGGUGGAGACAGAGAGAGAAUGAGAGAGAGAAAAUCAACACAGGAUGUCAUCUAAGCCAUCAAUAAAGGAGGACGGCCUGCCUGCUCUGUGUGCGGGGGACCAGAACCGGCUGCUCUCACCUGCUGAUGAUGCCCUUCAUCUGGAUGUCCUUG
Long non-coding RNA from Prionailurus viverrinus (fishing cat), 239 nucleotides. RefSeq lists it as uncharacterized. The transcript has 3 exons. Lineage: Eukaryota; Metazoa; Chordata; Mammalia; Carnivora; Felidae. The record is from RefSeq and is a predicted model, not a curated record.